UACGAAGGGUGCAAGCGUUACUCGGAAUUACUGGGCGUAAAGAGUGCGUAGGCGGUUCUUGAAGUCCGCUGUGAAAGCCCCGGGCUUAACCUGGGAAUGGCAGUGGAAACUGGAGGACUUGAAUUGAGCAGAGGGGGGUGGAAUGCCGCGUGUAGCAGUGAAAUGCGUAGAGAUGCGGCGGAACACCGAUGGCGAAGGCAGCCCCCUGGGCUUAAAUUGACGCUGAGGCACGAAAGCGUGGGGAGCAAACAGG
This 253-nucleotide ribosomal RNA is filed under the name uncultured bacterium. Its description in RNAcentral is "partial 16S ribosomal RNA". It matches the Rfam family "Bacterial small subunit ribosomal RNA", at positions 524 to 776 of the family's 1533-position model. The record is from RNAcentral.